UGCAUGCUCUUUUCGACAAGACUCGUCAUGCUGACCCACUUCACCUCGUAGACCCCUCGAAGGCUUGUCAAGUACAAAAUUUGACCAUUGCUCCUUCCAUAUGAGACAUCGGAAUCAGAGGUUCCUGCAACUUUUCUUUUAUCUUUCAAUGCCCCUUGUCAAUCAUUAUUUCACCUGACCGUUCGAUUUCUUUUUCACUGUCUUGAAUAGGUUCCCACGUGGCUGUUAGGUGAGAUGUGAACCAUGACAUGUA
This 253-nucleotide long non-coding RNA is filed under the name Lathyrus oleraceus (garden pea). RNAcentral describes it as "Pisum sativum (pea) long non-coding RNA (PSAT_LNC041522)". The record is from RNAcentral. Lineage: Eukaryota; Viridiplantae; Streptophyta; Magnoliopsida; Fabales; Fabaceae.